CCGCUGACGACCGGCGAACGGGUGCGUAACGCGUAUAGAAUCUGCCUUGUACAGGAGGAUAGCCUUUAGAAAUGAAGAUUAAUACUCCAUAAUAUUGAGAAGUGGCAUCGCUUUUUAAUUAAACAUUUAUGGGUACAAGAUGACUAUGCGUCCUAUUAGCUAGAUGGUAAGGUAACGGCUUACCAUGGCAACGAUAGGUAGGGGGUCUGAGAGGAUUAUCCCCCACACUGGUACUGAGACACGGACCAGACUCCUACGGGAGGCAGCAGUGAGGAAUAUUGGUCAAUGGAGGCAACUCUGAACCAGCCAUGCCGCGUGCAGGAUGACUGCCCUAUGGGUUGUAAACUGCUUUUAUACAGGAAGAAACAGUCGUACGUGUACGGCCUUGACGGUACUGUAAGAAUAAGCACCGGCUAACUCCGUGCCAGCAGCCGCGGUAAUACGGAGGGUGCAAGCGUUAUCCGGAAUCAUUGGGUUUAAAGGGUCCGCAGGCGGUCAAUUAAGUCAGAGGUGAAAUCCCAUAGCUUAACUAUGGAACUGCCUUUGAUACUGGUUGACUUGAGUUAUACGGAAGUAGAUAGAAUGUGUAGUGUAGCGGUGAAAUGCAUAGAUAUUACACAGAAUACCGAUUGCGAAGGCAGUCUACUACG
RNAcentral lists this ribosomal RNA (650 nucleotides) under Flexibacter sp. OFEM17. RNAcentral describes it as "bacterial SSU rRNA". It matches the Rfam family "Bacterial small subunit ribosomal RNA", at positions 85 to 733 of the family's 1533-position model. The record is from RNAcentral. Lineage: Bacteria; Pseudomonadati; Bacteroidota; Cytophagia; Cytophagales; Flexibacteraceae.